This is a long non-coding RNA of Grus americana (Whooping crane), 551 nucleotides long. RefSeq lists it as uncharacterized. The transcript has 3 exons. Lineage: Eukaryota; Metazoa; Chordata; Aves; Gruiformes; Gruidae. The record is from RefSeq and is a predicted model, not a curated record.
GGCAAGCAGCCUGAAGCACAACGCCCGACGCACAAAGCCUGGCUGUCUUCCUGCCGCCACUGGAGUCCCUUCCUGCGAGUGAGCUGCUCGCCCUCUUCUUUCUCUGCUCUGGAUCUGCCACCACGAACUGAAGGGCCACUGGAGCUGGGGGGUCUACAGCCCUGAUUUACCAUUCCAGAGAUGAGUGAACCUACUCAGGACCCCACUGGAGUUAAGGGAUCUCGUGCACUGCACUUUGCAGGAAGAGGGCCGCAACUUGCUCUCUUCCUGCCGUCACACAUUCUCAUGAUUUCUUCAUGCAAGGAUUUGGGGGAAUACACACGGCUCCUCCUUUCCACCAUCUGCCUGAGAACUUCACCUCAGCGGAGGGGAGUUGUACCUUUUCUGCCGGAACCUGAAAUUCUCAACUUUCCAGCUUGCACCAAAUCCAUGCUAACCCGGGUGUUAAUUUGUCAAGUACGUACGGUGCCCGGCUGGACCGAAUUGGAGCUACGCCCAAGUAAAGAGGAAGAAACUUCAAACGUAAGGAACACCCCUAAGCUUGACUUUAU